AUUGAACGCUGGCGGCAGGCUUAACACAUGCAAGUCGAGCGGAGAGAGGUAGCUUGCUACUGAUCUUAGCGGCGGACGGGUGAGUAAUGCUUAGGAAUCUGCCUAUUAGUGGGGGACAACAUUUCGAAAGGAAUGCUAAUACCGCAUACGUCCUACGGGAGAAAGCAGGGGAUCUUCGGACCUUGCGCUAAUAGAUGAGCCUAAGUGGGAUUAGCUAGUUGGUGGGGUAAAGGCCUACCAAGGCGACGAGCUGUAGCGGGUCUGAGAGGAUGAUCCGCCACACUGGGACUGAGACACGGCCCAGACUCCUACGGGAGGCAGCAGUGGGGAAUAUUGGACAAUGGGCGGAAGCCUGAUCCAGCCAUGCCGCGUGUGUGAAGAAGGCCUUAUGGUUGUAAAGCACUUUAAGCGAGGAGGAGGCUACUUUAGUUAAUACCUAGAGAUAGUGGACGUUACUCGCAGAAUAAGCACCGGCUAACUCUGUGCCAGCAGCCGCCGCAG
This 501-nucleotide ribosomal RNA is filed under the name uncultured bacterium. Its description in RNAcentral is "partial 16S ribosomal RNA". It matches the Rfam family "Bacterial small subunit ribosomal RNA", at positions 30 to 523 of the family's 1533-position model. The record is from RNAcentral.